Molecule: long non-coding RNA, 580 nt
Organism: Scleropages formosus (Asian bonytongue)
Lineage: Eukaryota; Metazoa; Chordata; Actinopteri; Osteoglossiformes; Osteoglossidae
Exons: 3
Source: RefSeq, a predicted model, not a curated record
UGUGCAGCAGCGGAGCACGCAGGAUGCGCGAGCUGCUGCUGGACGUUCCCGCCGGAAUAUAUCGCUGGAAUGUCACUUUAAAUGAUCCGCGCGCGGCCGCGCAUCAGCCGCUGCCGCGCAGUUUCGUGCGUGGCCUCGUGCACUCGCCUUUUCCGCAUCUCGUGUGUACAUACAAUAUGUACUCAUUUAAAUGGCAUUUUGAUUUUGCCAGCCUGGGGUUGUUCGUGUGGUGUAUAACACAGGAAGUGACAUCAACAACGGGUCAAAAGCAAAAAAAAAAAAAAAAAAAGAAAAAAAAAUUGAAAUAAAUAAAAGUGUGUCGCAGGAGCGGGACUGAGAAAUGUCCAGAACCCGGCGGUGGUGUGCGCGGUGUAGCGCGCGGCAGCUUCAAGAUGUUCAUGCCUCGUUUCCAAGACUCUGGAGGACAUGAAUGUGCCGGUGCGGCCAGACGUCACGAGAUCAGCUGCUCAGACUCAAAGGACUGCGACAUGUCACUCUCACCGGACACCAGAGAUUGUGAGAACAAGACGAUGAGGUUAUGAAGUUAGCUGUUUUCUCUUCACUUCAGUGGCUCUGUAAG